RNAcentral lists this transfer RNA (70 nucleotides) under Camelus ferus (Wild Bactrian camel). It matches the Rfam family "tRNA". From Rfam's summary of the family: Transfer RNA (tRNA) molecules are approximately 80 nucleotides in length. Their secondary structure includes four short double-helical elements and three loops (D, anti-codon, and T loops). Further hydrogen bonds mediate the characteristic L-shaped molecular structure. tRNAs have two regions of fundamental functional importance: the anti-codon, which is responsible for specific mRNA codon recognition, and the 3' end, to which the tRNAs corresponding amino acid is attached (by aminoacyl-tRNA synthetases). tRNAs cope with the degeneracy of the genetic code in two manners: having more than one tRNA (with a specific anti-codon) for a particular amino acid; and 'wobble' base-pairing, i.e. permitting non-standard base-pairing at the 3rd anti-codon position. Lineage: Eukaryota; Metazoa; Chordata; Mammalia; Artiodactyla; Camelidae. The record is from Rfam by way of RNAcentral.
GGGUGUAGCCCAGUGGUACAGUGCAUGCCUAGCAUGCAUGAGGGCCUGAGUUCAAUCCCCAGUACUUCCA